GUCAAGACAUGGGCGUGAUUGACAGGCUAAUGACUUUUCUCGAUUCCAUGGAUGGUGGUGCAUGGUCGCACUUAGUUGGUGCAGUGAUUUGUCAGGUUUAUUCCGGUAACGAACGAGACCUCGGCCUUGUAAAUAGCUAUGCUGCUUACAGGGACAUUGGCGGCUACGCCAAGGAAGCUCGAGGCAAUUGCAGAUCUGGAAUGCCCUUAGAUGUCCUGGGUCGCACGCGUGCUACAAUGACGCCACGAACGAGCUUGCGUGAUGAAAGUUACGCAUAAUCAGCAGUCGGCGUCUUAAGGGAUAGUCUCUUGUAACUGUGGGACUCCAACUAGGAAUGUCUCGUAAGCACAAGUCAACAUCUUGUGUUGAUUACGUCCCUGCUCUUUGUACACACCGCCCGUCGCUCCUACCGAUCGAGUGUUUUGUGAAUUUGAUGGACGUAAGGAAGUCAAAUAAACCUGAGCACUAGAGAAGAGAGCGACAGAGGGACAAGGAAAGUG
This 500-nucleotide ribosomal RNA is filed under the name uncultured Myrionecta. RNAcentral describes it as "bacterial SSU rRNA". It matches the Rfam family "Eukaryotic small subunit ribosomal RNA", at positions 1222 to 1805 of the family's 1831-position model. The record is from RNAcentral. Lineage: Eukaryota; Ciliophora; Litostomatea; Cyclotrichida; Mesodiniidae.